AAGAAGCAAACUCCACGGAGAGACGGUUGCAAAAGCAAGGUGACGGACAUCGCCGGUCACGUCAGAACUCUCAGCCAGUAAACCUAGCAACGGAUUCGUAGAGCGAUUCGACUGUGUCCUCUUUAUAUCUCCCCUACGUCUUCGUGACGGACGAUCGCUGCCGCGCGGAACUUAAGACGAUCGUACAAGACGUCAAAGACAGGAAGUACGUCUCUAAGAAAGCUGCGUAUGUUGGCGUCAUCGUCGUCGACUCGGCGCCCGUUGACAUGGAAACCCCCGUCAUGCGUCUGACAAGACUGUUAGAAAAAUACCUGAAGCUGCCGUAUUUCAGACAGCCGCAAAUUUGUUAUUUUGUAGAAAAGGACUCCAACUCGCCGAACGUCUUGAAAAGCACGAUACGGGACGCAAUGGAGAUGUCUGGAGAAGACUCGUACUUACAGAGGGAGAGCCGGCUCACCAGGAUGAAGCGGUGCUUAGGACUCCGGAGGAAACCAUCACACAGAGAGGGGGAACUAGAAAGAGCGAGGGAGCAAGAGAGAACCACUAGAUUACUCCUUCAGAAUACAACUCAGCUGGACACUCAAGUAUGAGAUGGAGGCCGGCAGGCACAGCCUUAUGCAGCCUCAUUGAACGUCACCAAGAACGCCAUCUUGUUGCUAGGUUACGAAAAUUGCUUUGGACAAUCUGUCGAUAUUUCUCUUUAGAAGAAACCAGAGACCAGCAUUAAAACUGGAGACGAUGCCAUACGCAAACUCAAUGCCACGUGGCCUUAAAAUUAUUAUUGUUGCUGUUGUUGCAAAUACAAUGCAAGAAUUCCAUGUAUUGUUAGAAGUCGAGAGGAGACUUUUAAAGUUUUUAACGGAGAGCAACGGAAACAGAUGUACAGUACGUGAAAUAAAUGAUUUUUGAUCUGAG
Long non-coding RNA from Branchiostoma floridae (Florida lancelet), 915 nucleotides. RefSeq lists it as uncharacterized. The record is from RefSeq and is a predicted model, not a curated record. NCBI's taxonomy places the organism in Eukaryota, Metazoa, Chordata, Leptocardii, Amphioxiformes, Branchiostomatidae. The transcript is spliced from 4 exons.